RNAcentral lists this long non-coding RNA (378 nucleotides) under Setaria italica (foxtail millet). RNAcentral's name for it is "long non-coding RNA (SITA_LNC001501)". Lineage: Eukaryota; Viridiplantae; Streptophyta; Magnoliopsida; Poales; Poaceae. The record is from RNAcentral.
CCAGAGGACGGCGAUCAUGUCCGAGUCGGCGAGCCUGUCGUCGCCUUGCAGCGAGAGGAGGACGUCGGUGAAGUCCACGACGGCGGGUGGGGCGGAGCUGAGGUCGUUCCGGGCGCGGUGCUCGUCGAUGAUGCCGCCGACGAAGCGGUUCACGCGCGGGACGAGGCGGUCGCACCUAGCCCGGGUGCCCUGCAGGUCGAAGCGCGCGAGCCAGGGGAGGUGGUCGGACCAGUUGAGCUGGCCCAGCAGGUCGUAGCCUUCGUCCACGAGGGCCCUCAGCUCCCGCGUCUCCGGGCUCUCCUUGGCGGGGUCCAGCUCCAGGUCGUACCGCUGGCCGAACACCGACCACAUCACGUUGUGCAGGGACCCACGGCGGAG